This 90-nucleotide ribosomal RNA is filed under the name Pseudomonadota bacterium. The record is from RNAcentral. Lineage: Bacteria; Pseudomonadati; Pseudomonadota.
CCCGUUCCCAUUCCGAACACGGUCGUUAAGCUCUUCUGCGCCAAUGGUACUGCAUGGGUGACUAUGUGGGAGAGUAGGACGCCGCCGAAU